AUGUAUUCAGCUACAUCAUCUUCGGCAGCAUUUGUUGUUCUUCUGUUGUUGGUGGCCACGGCUCUUUAUCUUUCGCUGAAGACAAGAUACAAUGAAGAGAUACAUUUGAAAGUUGAAAUGUUUCUCAAUACAUAUGGUACAUCAAAACCCACAAGGUACACUUUCUCCGAAAUCAAGAAGAUAACGCGACGGUUCAAGGAUAAAUUAGGACAUGGUGGAUUUGGAAGUGUGUACAAAGGUGAGCUACCAAAUGGAGUUCCUGUGGCUAUCAAGAUGCUAGAGAACUCUAAUGGAGAGGGGCAGGAAUUCAUCAACGAGGUUGCAACCAUCGGGAGAAUCCACCAUACAAAUAUUGUCCGCCUCCUUGGCUUUUGUUCUGAAGGGACAAGAAGGGCUCUUAUUUAUGAAUUCAUGCCUAAAGAUUCAUUAGAGAAAUAUAUAUUCUCGGGUAGUUCUAUUGUUUCUCAAGAACACCUGGUCCCAGACAAAAUGCUAGUUAUUGCUUUAGGCAUUGCUAGAGGAAUGGAAUACUUACAUCAAGGAUGCAAUCAGCGCAUCCUCCACUUGAACAUCAGGCCUCACAAUAUCUUACUGGACUACAGCUUCAAUCCGAAGAUCUCUGACUUCAGCCUCGCAAAGUUGUGUCCAAGGGACCAAAGCAUCAUUACCUUGACUGCGGCAUGAGGCACUAUGGGCUACAUCGCACCAGAACUAUACUCUAGGAACUUUGGAGGGAUAUCCUACAAGUCAGAUGUCUAUAGUUUUGGUUUGCUGGUGUUAGAAAUGGUGAGCCGAAAGAGGAACUCAGACCCAAGUAUUGAGAGCCGGAACCAGGUAUAUCUCCCGGAGCGGAUCUAUGAAAAAGUCAUGACUGGAGAGGAACUAGUGCUUACUGUGGAAGUGACACCAGAAGGGAAAGAAAAGGUGAGACAGCUGGCUAUUGUGGCACUCUGGUGUAUUCAGUGGAACCCAAGAAACCGGCCAUCGAUGACAAAAGUGAUAAACAUGUUGUUGGGAAGUUUGCAGGAUCUGCAGAUGCCCCCUAAGCCCUUUGUCCCAUCUGAAAAUCGCCGCGCACCAUAA
This 1083-nucleotide ribosomal RNA is filed under the name Triticum aestivum (bread wheat). Its description in RNAcentral is "partial small subunit ribosomal RNA". Lineage: Eukaryota; Viridiplantae; Streptophyta; Magnoliopsida; Poales; Poaceae. The record is from RNAcentral.